This 57-nucleotide microRNA precursor is filed under the name Caenorhabditis remanei. RNAcentral's name for it is "microRNA crm-mir-7582 precursor". Lineage: Eukaryota; Metazoa; Nematoda; Chromadorea; Rhabditida; Rhabditidae. The record is from miRBase by way of RNAcentral.
GUAAGAAUUGCAGUCUGUCCCACAAGAAUUUAAUGUGACAUGCGGCAAUUUUUACAG